CCUACGGGAGGCUGCAGUGAGGAAUAUUGGUCAAUGGACGAGAGUCUGAACCAGCCAAGUAGCGUGAAGGAUGACUGCCCUAUGGGUUGUAAACUUCUUUUAUAAAGGAAUAAAACGAGGCACGUGUGCCUUUUUGCAUGUACUUUAUGAAUAAGGAUCGGCUAACUCCGUGCCAGCAGCCGCGGUAAUACGGAGGAUCCGAGCGUUAUCCGGAUUUAUUGGGUUUAAAGGGAGCGUAGAUGGGUUGUUAAGUCAGUUGUGAAAGGUUGCGGCUCAACCGUAAAAUUGCAAUUGAUACUGUCAGUCUUGAGUACAGUUGAGGUAGGCGGAAUUCGUGGUGUAGCGGUGAAAUGCUUAGAUAUCACGAAGAACCCCGAUUGCGAAGGCAGCUUACUAAACUGUGACUGACAUUGAUGCUCGAAAGUGUGGGUAUCAAACAGGAUUAGAUACCCUUGUAGUC
Molecule: ribosomal RNA, 460 nt
Filed under: uncultured bacterium
Lineage: Bacteria
Description: partial 16S ribosomal RNA
Rfam family: Bacterial small subunit ribosomal RNA
Source: RNAcentral